CAGUCGCCGCGGUAAUACCGAGGGUGCGAGCGUUAAUCGGAUUUACUGGGCGUAAAGCGUGCGUAGGCGGCUAAUUGAGUCGGAUGUGAAAUCCCCGAGCUUAACUUGGGAAUUGCAUUCGAUACUGGUUAGCUAGAGUGUGGGAGAGGAUGGUAGAAUUCCAGGUGUAGCGGUGAAAUGCGUAGAGAUCUGGAGGAAUACCGAUGGCGAAGGCAGCCAUCUGGCCUAACACUGACGCUGAGGUACGAAAGCAUGGGGAGCAAACAGGAUUAGAUACCCCAGUAGUCCCUGUCUCUUAUAA
Molecule: ribosomal RNA, 301 nt
Filed under: uncultured bacterium
Lineage: Bacteria
Description: partial 16S ribosomal RNA
Rfam family: Bacterial small subunit ribosomal RNA
Source: RNAcentral